This 742-nucleotide ribosomal RNA is filed under the name cyanobacterium enrichment culture clone 3_10_3.1.3_D11-T7. RNAcentral describes it as "bacterial SSU rRNA". It matches the Rfam family "Bacterial small subunit ribosomal RNA", at positions 67 to 852 of the family's 1533-position model. The record is from RNAcentral. Lineage: Bacteria; Bacillati; Cyanobacteriota.
CGGAGUACUUCGGUACUUAGUGGCGGACGGGUGAGUAACGCGUGAGGAUCUGCCCUCAGGAGGGGGACAACGACUGGAAACGGUCGCUAAUACCCCAUAUGCCGAGAGGUGAAAUGUUUUUUCGCCUGAGGAUGAGCUCGCGUCAGAUUAGCUAGUUGGUGGGGUAACGGCCUACCAAGGCGACGAUCUGUAGCUGGUCUGAGAGGAUGAUCAGCCACACUGGGACUGAGACACGGCCCAGACUCCUACGGGAGGCAGCAGUGGGGAAUUUUCCGCAAUGGGCGAAAGCCUGACGGAGCAAGACCGCGUGAGGGAUGACGGCCUAAUGGUUGUAAACCUCUUUUCUCUGGGAAGAUAAUGACGGUACCAGAGGAAUAAGCCUCGGCUAACUCCGUGCCAGCAGCCGCGGUAAUACGGAGGAGGCAAGCGUUAUCCGGAAUUAUUGGGCGUAAAGCGUCCGUAGGUGGUUAAUCAAGUCAGCUGUUAAAGAGCGGAGCUUAACUCCGUUAGAGCGGUUGAAACUGAUUGACUAGAGUUUGGUAGGGGUCGAGGGAAUUCCCAGUGUAGCGGUGAAAUGCGUAGAUAUUGGGAAGAACACCGGUGGCGAAAGCGCUCGACUGGGCCUGAACUGACACUGAGGGACGAAAGCUAGGGGAGCGAAAGGGAUUAGAUACCCCUGUAGUCCUAGCCGUAAACGAUGGAUACUAGGCGUUGUCCGUAUCGACCCGAGCCGUGCCGAAGC